Molecule: unclassified non-coding RNA, 376 nt
Filed under: soil metagenome
Description: partial contains 5.8S ribosomal RNA, internal transcribed spacer 2, and large subunit ribosomal RNA
Rfam family: 5.8S ribosomal RNA (bases 1-120)
Source: RNAcentral
GAUGAAGAACGUAGCGAAAUGCGAUAAGUAAUGUGAAUUGCAGAAUUCAGUGAAUCAUCGAAUCUUUGAACGCAUCUUGCGCUCCUUGGUAUUCUGAGGAGCAUGCCUGUUUGAGUGUCAUUAAAUUCUCAACUACACUGACUUUGAAUUGGUGUGGCUUGGAUUUGGGGGGAAAAUUGUUGUGGGCUUUUUGUAUAGUCUGCUCCCCUGAAAUUGAUUAGCGGUACCUUUGUGGAACUGUCUACAGGUGUGAUAAUUAUCUACAUCUUAGACAUCUGCUGGGAUGCUGCUUUCUAAACCUUACUUGUAUUGACAAUCUUGACCUCAAAUCAGGUAGGACUACCCGCUGAACUUAAGCAUAUCAAUAAGCGGAGGA